UUGGGAGAUAUGUAUAAGCAAUGUUUUAAGGCCCAGCCUGCAAGUAGCACACAAAACAUUUUCUUAUAUUCCCGUAGUGAAAGCUAUGUUGAAUGGCCACACCAAGCUCCAAAAGGGGUUGAGAAGCCACUGCCCAAUUACAACUUUACUAAUAUGUGUCUGUGUAACCCAGCCAUCCUGCAGCAGAGGAGAAACUAGAAUCCAGGUCUUCCAAUUCUCAGGAAGGGGGCAUAACCUCCAAAAGAAUGACAUAGCCUGAGGACAUGAUAUAAACUGAUCAGAACCAACCAGAUCCAAGAUGGCAGAAGAAGCUAGCUGCCAUAUGGAGAGGACACAGAAACAGCUCAAAGGAGAGAUUUGAGUGGUAGGAACUGAAGCCUCCUGCCAGCAGCCGUGUGUGAGCUACCUGGGAGGUUAGAUUCUCCAGCCCUAGUCGAGUCUCUGAUGGCUUCAGCUCCAGCUGAC
This is a long non-coding RNA of Bos taurus (domestic cattle), 465 nucleotides long. NCBI's taxonomy places the organism in Eukaryota, Metazoa, Chordata, Mammalia, Artiodactyla, Bovidae. The record is from Ensembl.